CAAAACCAGCUCUCUACCUUCUCCUUCCUCAAAAGUCAAAAGAUAGCUCUCUGCCUUCUCCUUCCUCAAUCAAAACCCACCAUACCCACAAACCAACAGAGAUCUCCUUCCUCAGACCCUAUUUCUCCCGUUCCCCUUCUCCUUUCCUGUUCCACUCACAACCACCAUAACUCAGCAGACAGUAGCAGCACCACCACCUACAACAAUCACAACCCACAAACCACCAUAGUCAAACCAUAUCAAACCCACAACCGAAAAGCAAAAAAGCAUUUUGAAGAUCUGCGAUUGCAAAAUCUGGGGGAGUCCGAUUCUCGAUGAAUGCUGCGAAAGAGAGACAGGAGAAAAGUAACAUCGAUUGCGAAAUUUGGGGGAGUCCGAUUCUAGAGGAAUGCUGCGAAAGAGAGACAGGAAAAGAGUAACAUCGAGAUGGUAACUUCUAUAUGAACGUUGUUCUCUUCUCCUUUAAAUUAAUAAAAAUUUACUGACUCCAAUUGUUCUUGCUAAUUUCCUUUAGCUUGGGCAUGUAUACUAAUCUGAAAUAACAACUCAUAUGGUGUUCAAUGCACAGGGGAAAAUUUCAUGUAUUUUCCUACAAACUUUUCUAAAACCCGAUAAACUCUUCUCCAUAAUCCCAUGCUUACAAAGCUUUUCCUACUUCAUUUGUUCUUGACUUUCUAUCUUCUGGGUAUUAAAUUUUCAAGAUUGACCUGAAGAAUUGGGAUCCUUUUCUGAUGUUGGACUAUUUUUCAUGUAUGAAAAAUUCAAUCUAAUCUUUUUCAAAUUUCAAAUUUCUUUUAUUGAUAUUACUGACUCGCUGUUGAUCAAUAGGAAUUAGAAAAUUUAUGUUAGAGCUUUAUUAUUUGAAACUUAUUCCUCUUGGUUUCAUAAAAAAGGGAUUUUAGGGUUGAAUUGGACUUUGAUGGAACUGAUGGGGUUUGAUGGAACUGAUGUAACAGAGGGUUCUGAGAGGCUAACAGAAGCUAUAGGUGAUGAUUCUGAAGCUGUGAAUCCUGUGAUAUGUGCUAUUGGGUUUAAGCCUGGAUGGGAUUUGUUUGCUUCAUGGAAGGUUGAUAAUUUUGUAGGUUGAUUUUCAAACCACAUGCUCAUAUCUUUUGAUUUUCAUGAUGGAAAUAAUGGACUGUAUGUAAUUUAAAGUCUUUGGUUUUAUCUUUAAUGUGAGUUACUAAAUUCAAUUGUGGAUUAGUGAAACUAAAUAAUAUGAUUCCUAUUCUGUUAAGUGGACAUUUUCAUGUGGUGGGUCUUUGUUAUUGUCAAGGAAGUUAAUAAGUUAUUUUCUUUUUCAAGGCAUAUAAGCUACACUUUUGGGAGAUCUAGAGUAUCAUGGAAAAGAAAGAACGCUGCCAGGGGCCUAAAAACAACUUUCUAUUGCCCUUUGGGACCAUGAUUUAACUUUGUCUUGUGGUUGAAAAUGAGAUUACAUCAUACAAAGAUACAAUUGUGUACAACAAUGAAGAUUUUCAACCAGGAGAAGUGGAAGCAUAUAAGCAUAAACAAAUUAUUUUUGUAUAUAUUUGUAUGUAAGUUUUUGGUGUUAUAUUAUUGCAAUUUU
This is a long non-coding RNA of Quercus robur (English oak), 1570 nucleotides long. RefSeq lists it as uncharacterized. The transcript has 2 exons. NCBI's taxonomy places the organism in Eukaryota, Viridiplantae, Streptophyta, Magnoliopsida, Fagales, Fagaceae. The record is from RefSeq and is a predicted model, not a curated record.